GGAGCUUUCUGGGUUUGUGUAUUUGGAGGGGGUCAGAGUUCGUGACCUCUCGGCUCCGCGGUGCGCGCUCCAGCCCGCGCCUGCGCGUGAGUGGUCUGGGGGGACAGGCGAGAGGAGGGCGUGACGCUCCCUGGGAGGAGGGAUGAAAGGACCCAGCCUCUCAAGACCGACUGCCCCCUAGCGGCGAGGAGGGAGAAUGCCCCGCCAUUGCUGCGCCUCGGGGGUCAAGGACUUAAAGACCCAAAGGCGGUCCUGAAAGGUUUUGAAACAACUUUUCAGAUUUGAGUAUUGAGAUAACCUCAUCAGUUUUAGGCAAUUCUGUUUGUAAUUUGGGGAAACUGGGCUCUGUUAUAGGCUCUCUAACAUUUAUCAGAGGACUAACAAGUAUGGGUAAAUCCCAAUAAGACAUUUAAAAGUCCCUUCAAUAAAAUGACAAACUGGGGUAGACGCCUGUGUAGUAAGGCCAAGUUUUUACUUAUCAGCUCUUGUAAGUAAAUAGGUAUAAUUGCUAAAUGGUGCAUGGAUGUAAUUACUUAGAAUGUCAAAUUCCUGAAGGCUUAUUUUUGUCUGAUUUGCUCAGGCAUGUAUUCCCAAGCCUAUAGGACAAUGCCUGAUGGCCAACCAAAAAUUGGAAAGAGGUAUUGAUGGAACAUGACAUUCUGACAGUAACUGCCAGUGGCACAGAGGUGUGGCAGGAAGAGCUGUCCUGUAUGCAAAGUACUGUGUGAUGGUUUGGAUUUUAAGAGAAGGGGUCCUCAAAAUUUCUUUAGUAUUGACCAGCACCAGGAAAGCAGUCGUGGAUUCAGGCCAGAAACCCAAGUGAGGAAAACAAAGGUGCACUGGGAAGGAGAACAUCUCUGUCAUUUCCUGCUGGAACUAGGAGCCGGACACAGGACACAGAAAAGGGGCAUGCAGCUGUAUUUCUAACAAGUAGAAAUAUACUUUAGGCCGCAUUCUCUAAAAGUUCCACUUUUCCUUUGGCAUCAUUCUAUUUGGUGGUUUUAAGGCAGCCCCUCCUCCCUCCACCCCCCAAAUCCUUAAGAUGGUCUCAAAAGUGGAAGAAAGCAUAUUUACAAUGAAGAAGGCAAUCUGAGACCUUGUCUCUAUUCUCAGUGCAUGAGUGCUUAUAGUGAUGCUUGUGGUUACCCCUUAUCAUCCAAUUAAUUCAUAUAAGUUACAGUAGGUUGACUUAUUAAAAUGUGGAAGUAGAAGCCAUUUGGGAAACAUCAUUUGUGGGUGGAGAAGAGCAUCCCCUAAUUAUGCUUCAGGAAAACAAGUCAAUGUGAUUCAUCUUUAAAUGUGACUCUUAAAAAAAUUAAGGUCUAAAGAGAACGAAAGGGAAAAUAAACAAAAAAUAAUAAUAUAAAAAAUUAUGACUUAAAACACAUCACACCAAAAGUAGAUAAAUUUAUUUUGUAUAAAUACAUAUUAACAUUAUUUACAAUGCUAACAUUUGAUUUAUAAAGGAUUUACUAGUAGAUCUCUAUAUGGACAAUAAGGUACAGACUAUUAUCACUUUAAGUAAAAAGUAUUUAUAGAAAUUCAUAAGUCAUUUAAAGAAACAAUAGUAUUUUAAGAUUGGUUUUCAAGAUGCUAUGACCAACUUACAUAAAAGAAAAGGCUGCCCCCUUUUAAUCUCUCCCCCCAGCAGAAAAAAGGAAUUUGAUAUAUUGAGGCGUUUUGAAAAUGUACUGCCUUCAUCUUAAAAAGAAAAUACUAGAAAUUACUUAUCUCUUUUCUUAAAGGGGGAAAAAAGUUGUAGGGAAGAUUUUCUCUUAGAAAAUAACUUUAAAAGUGGCAUAAGCUCCUGAAUGAUAUUUGUGUAUUGGGGAUACUAAAAAAAAGGGGGGGGGGAGGGGAAAUCCAUUUGAAGUAAUUUAAUUUAUCAAACAGAUACUGAAUAUCCAACAAGUAUAGGCACUCUGCCAGAUGCUGAGGGGGAAUCUCAAAUGAAUAAGAUACAGUUGCUGUUCUCCAGGACAGAAUGUAAUAAGUACCAUAAGAAAGUCUGUUUAUGAGCUAAAGGCUAUGGGAAUAUAGAGGAAGGGAAAACUAGAUCUAGCCUGAGAAAACAGGAGGGAAGUAGGGAAGAGAAGGACGAGGGAUCAACUUCAGAGAAGUCUUGGAUAAAUAGGCAGAAAUGGGGGUGGAAGAGAGGGUGAGAAAACAAACUGAACAGAGGAAGGUUGGGUUGGGAUCAGCUGGAGUGCAUGAUACCUGGGGAAAAGUGUUCCAUGCCACGCCACUGGGAAGCCAACGGAAGUGGAAGAGCAGGAUGAAAGCAGACCCAUGCUUUAGAAGAUGGCUCUGGCAGUGUUAAAAAUGGGACCGUGCAAGGAAGGCAUUGAAAUCGGAAGAAGAGUUAUUCCAGUCAUUGGAAAGAAGAUACAAGAGCAAUUGCAGAGGGCCCUGUUGAGACUUGGAGUCAGAUUCUGGCGAGUACAACACUGUUUUUCCAUCACAGAAGAAAAUAAACAGAUUAAAAGAAAAGUGAGUUUUAGUGAUUUAAAGUUUAAAAUGCUUAAGGACUCGUGUGUCAGUGUCCAAGUGGUAGUUGCAAAUGUGGCCUUGCAGGAUGGUGGAAUGUGUAGGUUUAAGAAAUGAGUUGUAAUGUAGGCAUUUGGAGAGCUGUGCUUGAGAUGUAGAUGACAAGAAUCAUGUCCU
Molecule: long non-coding RNA, 2664 nt
Organism: Myotis daubentonii (Daubenton's bat)
Lineage: Eukaryota; Metazoa; Chordata; Mammalia; Chiroptera; Vespertilionidae
Exons: 2
Source: RefSeq, a predicted model, not a curated record